UUUAUACUUAAAAUACAGCUCGACUAAAUAAACAAAAUAACAAUGAACAAAGUGUAAACGGCCAUGUAGUAAUAGAAAGGAUUUGAAUAACAGAAAAUUCAAAUUUUACGACUUUAAAAGCAAACAACCUAAAAAAAUAAAUACUUUUGUUUGGCUUUGUGUCCAUUAUUUUCAAAGCAUACAGCUAUGAAUCAUGACGUGUACAUUAUUUAUUUUUUAAAUUAUUUUAAAUGAUCAGCCAGUUAAUAAAUAAUAUGGAACAAAGGGAAUAUUUGUCAUUAAAUAGCAUCUCUGUGUCUAUUUAUUCAUCAGUCUCAAGAGACUUGAUAUUCAGCUAAUUAUUGAAGAGGUAACAUACUGCAUCAGCUGAAAUAAUGUGACAGAUUACCUUGACUGUGACUGAAGUGAUAAUAUUGCUUUCUUGCCAGCAAUUCUAAUAUAUUUGUUGAAAUGAAACACAGUCUUUCUUACCUGAAGAAGAUUCUUAAAGACAGAUGCCCAAACACCAGUCACGAUGCAAGUGCAUUGCCAUUAUCUCUCUAUUGUAUAUCCAUUCGUUGGUAUUGUACAGAUAACUAAACAAUUCACUGUAUAUAUACAGUUGUGUACUUCUAUGGCGUCUUCAUCAAGGAUCACCCCAAGGUACCAAAGAAAUUGGCUAGCAGUAACAAUUCUAGCGGCAAAAUGAUGGCCAUGGCGUGCAGAUGCCAGUUGCUCUACUAGAUCGUACACUCGAUGCUGCGUCGUACAGUGUGCAUCAAAAGAUGGUCGUUAACAGUUUUAUCGCUUUCCUCAAAGACAACGAGAAGCAUAUAUGCAGCCAUUGCUAAUAAACAAGUACAAACUGACUAGUAACAGUUUUUCCCUCAAUUCCCUUACGAUAAAAAUCAACCUAGAUGUCGAUGACUCAACAUGUGACUCUCGAAGAAGCUCCUCAGGUCCUCUCACUGCAAUAUCUCAGCUGUCGAGCUUUUGCUACUACCGCUGCUACGGCUGCUUACCAACUUGAUAUGUUAUACAUGAUCUCCAGGUACAUGUUCUUGCCAUGACUUUUAUUGCCUUUGGUACAGUCACACGAAACUGGACUUAUUGACAACUUCAUCGAUACCAACGAUUUUUGCAAAGCAUACCUUUCAGGAAUUAUUCAAUCUUUAAAAAUUGUGAAAAUAAAAUACCAUCCUGAACUGUUUUCACAUAACUUGAAAUAUAAGACGCUUUGAAAACCUUCAACAUUUUUUACGAUGAAACUCUAAAGACAGAAAUAUAUCAAGAUGAAAAUGAACAAUGUAUGUGGAAUCUUGCAGUACAUCUAUUAGCCUACAUGAAAUAUCAUAAUAUGUAUUUAUACGUUCAGAAAAAUAAAGAAUAAGUGAAAAAGCGGUUAAAAAGUAAUAGUUUUUCAAAAAUCAGUAAAGUUUUUGCGGAAAAUGUAGAAGAAAGUACACUUUGUACCAGAAAGCUUCGAAGUCAGUCAUCCUUAAAAAUUUGAACCUGCUGAUAAUAUGGAAAGAAUAAAAAUGUUCUUAAAAAAGAUGAAUUUGUUUCUUUACACGAGAUGAAGUAUUGUAUACAGUUUAAAGAUAUAAUCCGUAAAAUUUUGUAUAAUAUACGUUUUGAAAUUAUGUUUUAGUCCGUAAAGCAAACAAACAAAUUUAAAGAUUUCGUUAAAAGAUGGUUAUUCAGUAUUUGUAGAAAUUUUAAAAGAUAUUCUACUGAACUAUAAGCUACCUCCGAAUAUAUUGUAUUACGAUUAUAUUAAUAUUAAAAGUGAUGAUAAAUUUUAUAAUCUUAGGGUUGUAAGUGAUAUAGAAAAAAAAUGACAUCAGCUGAUGAUUAAAUAUAUUAAAGCUCAGAAAUAAAACAUCCAUGAAAAAUUAUGUCAAAAUGGAAUACCAAAUUCGUUCUCGAUAUUUGAGUUAGGUGUUUUCCCUGGAUGGACUUGUUUAUUUUAUGAUUUACGCGAUAUUAAUUUGAUAAAACAUGUUUCAAAAAAUCAAAUCUAUUUGAUAAACACUCGAAAACGUCAGUCACAAUAUGUGAUGUUUUGGAGAAACUUGAUGCGCGGUGAAAAGCAAAUUGAAAGAACUUUUCUUAAUGAUAAGAAAUUUGUAAUUGUUAUUUUUGUUUACUGAAAAGAGAUGUAAUUUACAUAUAUGAAGAAUGCAGACUGUACUAUAGUGCUAACUGCUCGUGCACUGCCGGGGGUCGUUUGGAUCUACAAUAAACAUUUGAAAUUUACUGGUACUAGUUGUGAAAACGAUAUUCGUUAUUAUUUGAUAAACGAUUAAUUUUAUUAUAAGGGCUUAUCGCUCGUUGAACGCAAAAUCGAUUGCACUUAUUAUAUUCAGUUAAUAAUUAAAUAUCACUCUGCAGUGACUUAACAUUAUAACUAUCAAUCUCCAAAUUAAAAUUCGCAUAAAAAUGACAGUAAAACUUUUUGUCAAUUGAAUGAUGUGAAAUCGUUGAAGGUUUUUAAAAAAGUUGAAAAAAUUGAAAAAGAGUGGAUUUCCAUCAGCUCUGCUAGUUUACUCAUUAAUAUUCCCUUCCUUCAUACUUAUGAAAUAUUUCUGUAACAAUAAAUUGCAUAAGUGUUGACUCUCGGAAAAGUGAGCUUGUGAAGGUUGUUGGAAAUUCCAAGGAUUCUCGCAAAGUGAGAAAACAAGCAUUCUAUUUAACAUUAUACUUAUAUAUUUAUUAUAUGCAUAUGUAUACGUAAUAAUUAAUAAAAUAUAAUGUUUAUAAUGUUAAUCGUAUGUCUACAAUCGUAUUAUUAUCUGUUUUUUUCCAAUAUCGUCAUUGUCGCCGUUCUCAAGCACAUAUAUAUUUCGUGAGAGCGCUUGAAAAAGUUCAUUUGUUCGCUUGUUAGUUUGUGAAGUUUUGCAAAAUCGAGUAAACGCAACAUUAACAAAACGCAAUUGGCGAAAAAGCUACGAAACGGUAAUCACGCUACUUUACAAUGUAAACAUCAGCAAUGUAUCAUCCAUUUUUUUUUUCUUGCUUAUUCCUCUCAUAACAUAGUUGGUGUAUAAAAUUAUCCGGCGCGCAAGCACGCACGCACACACACGCACGCACGCACGCACGCACGCACUCACACACACACACACACAUUACUUAUACAUAAUUAUCUUUGCGAUGACAGUUUACAUAUCCAGUUAUGAUUCGUAACAAUAUAUAGCUUCGGUAUACUUGCGGUCGUGUGUCUGGUGUAUUUUCAUUUAUUUAUUAUCAACAUCUAUAUCCGAACCCUUAUGUCCUGUGCAUCCUUUUCUUUUUUAAAUUCAUAUAUAUAUAUAUAUAUAUGUAAUUUGCUUCCACGUAUAUAUAAAUAUCUAUGAAAUUAUUCCCAGAGAUUUAUGUGCAUAACCAAUGGCGCACGAAGCAAAGCAAGAGGAGGAAAAAUUUCCACUAGAAUAGCUUAUUGUUUCGUUAAUGAGACGUACGCGUUAUAAUUCUGAUAAACGUGGUGUGUAUGUGUGUGUGUGUGUGUGUGUGUGUGUGUGUGUGUGUGUGUGUGUGUGUGUGUGUGUGUGUGUGUGUGUGUGUGUGUGUGUGUGUGUGUGUGUGUGUGUGUGUGUGCGGCUGGCGAUGACGACGGCGAUGACGACAGUGUCGAAAACGUUCGGUCAGCAAUGUCUCGCGCGCGUUAUUGCACGUGCGCGCGGGUCUCCGUUUUCUCCUUUCGUUUUAUUCUUCGCGAAGUGUACACCUUUAAAAAAAUAUAUGUAGAGGUACAACGGAAAGACAAUGCUUUUGUUUUAUGACUGGAUAACAAAAAGAAUCGAGCUUUACUCUUUACUUCCUUUUAUUCGACGUGUACGGGUGCUUCAUCUCGCUCUUCCUACUUUUCACCAGAGAUACAGUGUGUCUAGGAAAGAAGUGCGAGCUAUGCGACGAUUACAGUAGUUAGAAAAUCAAAUGUUUUUUUUUUCCUUUUCACGCACAAAAGAGAAUCGUGUUCAUUAGUCAUACUUCACAACAGGCAUUGUUUAAUCGUUCGCGUUCAUCGUCAUUUUCAAGAGAAUGGGAACAUUUCGCCGCUCGCUAGGCGCUGCGACUUUGUUUUUUCUUUUAUUUUUGCUAAAAUUGAGAGAUGUGUUAUGUAUAUAUACACACAUACACAUCUGCUUAUAUAUCUGUGUUCUUCGUGCGCGUGAGUUCACAAAGAAGUCACAUCGCUUGUUGUGAGUUUUAAAACGCUUUCUUUCAUAAAAUUUACAUAUAGAUUCUUUAAUUUGCAAUUAAUCCUCCGCGACAAAUCGUCAUCGUCAUCAGUGUACGUGAGUUUCUUUUCUCUUUUUUUUUCGUCCAUGCGCCGAAUACCGAUAACAAAUUUCUUGUCAACGUAAUACUUUGCGGUCAAUGCCACGUGAUUUAUCCGCGGAAAUGCGAUGCCGUUGUUUAGCAAUUUUUCACGUUUUCGAAAAUGAAGAUACACGUGUUUCUUCAGCAUCAACUAUCAGACAUUAUUAUCACGACGAUUUGCAGAACUUUCGCUCGCCGCCGCGUUUUCUUAUCCCCGGUGUUUUCUCGUCGUGCCUACUAACGAUAUUCUACGAAAUCGAAAAAUUCAUGGCGAUGUGUAAUGCGCUCGAGGAGUAAGAGUUACAGCGCGGGAUAAGAAAAGAAGACGUAACACCGCAUCGUCCGCCGAAAUGCCAUUGACGCGUCGGUACUUGCGGCGUUUGAUGGGCACCGGAAACAGUCGGGUAAAAAUACUCAGCAAAAAUAAUUUGAUCGAACGAGCAGCGCCUAUCCCCGCGCUGCUUCGAAUCUGAUAUCGAUUCGCUUGCACUUUUUAUUCGUCGCGCGCUACAUUUACCCAACUCUUUCCUCCCUCUCGAUUUCUUUUUAUCAUUUCGCCCUUCUAAGCGCGUAACGAAUAUACAUAUAUACAUAUACAUAUACAUAUAUAUAUAUAUAUAUAUAUAUAUAUAUAUAUAUAUAUAUAUAUAUAUAUAUAUAUAUAUAUAUAUGCAGAAUAUAUUGCGGAAAAUUCUAUUAGCAAUAGGUACCAUGUGUUUCUUCAAUGUUUUUGUCACUUUUCUUUUUUUCUUGUUGUCGUUCGUUAAAAAAAUACGGACGCGAAAUGUACGAAUGUCGAGUUCUUUGUUCCGAAUGGACGAUUAUUAUGUAAUUCUUUUUGUUCAUUAUUAUUAUUAUUUACUUAGCAAAAAGGAUUUGAAGAUUGUACUGCUUUUUAUUUAUUAUUUUGUUAUCAUCCGCGGAAACAAGACUUUGCCAUUUUCGACGAAUCUCGCCUUUUUCAAAAUUGCAAUAGCGCACACGUUGCAUGCGUUUGUAUGUACUUGGCGCUUUGGUAAUCAGCGUCGACAGGGAUUUAAUUAAAGAAUCCACGUACGGCAGGAUUGUUCCAAAGUCUCAUCUCCGAGUAGUCUGAACAUUUAUAUUUGUUUCUGGUUUUUCGCGAAAAUUCGUUUACGACAAACAAAUCGACAUUUCUUUCGUUUCACAAAAGUAUAUAGAUUCAUCUUUUGUUAUUUCUUUAAAUAUCUCAAUAAUUUUUUUUACUCGGUUCCCGUUUAAUCAUUUGCUACGAUUUUAUUAUUUAAAAAAAAAUCUAA
Long non-coding RNA from Phymastichus coffea, 5582 nucleotides. RefSeq lists it as uncharacterized. The transcript is spliced from 7 exons. Lineage: Eukaryota; Metazoa; Arthropoda; Insecta; Hymenoptera; Eulophidae. The record is from RefSeq and is a predicted model, not a curated record.